This 460-nucleotide ribosomal RNA is filed under the name uncultured bacterium. RNAcentral describes it as "partial 16S ribosomal RNA". It matches the Rfam family "Bacterial small subunit ribosomal RNA", at positions 338 to 795 of the family's 1533-position model. The record is from RNAcentral.
CCUACGGGAGGCAGCAGUGAGGAAUAUUGGUCAAUGGACGGAAGCCUGAACCAGCCAUGUCGCGUGCAGGAUGACGGCCCUAUGGGUUGUAAACUGCUUUUGUACAAGGGUAACCCUCGUUACGUGUAUUCCUCUGCAAGUACUGUACGAAUAAGGCUCGGCUAAAUCCGUGCCAGCAGCCGCGGUAAUACGGAGGAUCCAAGCGUUAUCCGGAUUUAUUGGGUUUAAAGGGUGCGUUGGCGGAUUGAUAAGUUAGCGGUGAAAUGUCCGGGCUUAACCCGGGACCUGCCUCUAAUACUGGCGAUCUUGAGAGUAAGGGAGGUAGGCGGAAUGUGUGGUGUAGCGGUGAAAUGCUUAGAUAUCACACAGAACACCGAUUGCGAAGGCAGCUUGCCGACCUAUAACUGACGCUGAGGCACGAAAGCGUGGGGAGCGAACAGGAUUAGAUACCCCAGUAGUC